This 645-nucleotide ribosomal RNA is filed under the name Elaphinis delagoensis. RNAcentral's name for it is "LSU rRNA". It matches the Rfam family "Eukaryotic large subunit ribosomal RNA", at positions 663 to 1265 of the family's 3401-position model. The record is from RNAcentral. Lineage: Eukaryota; Metazoa; Arthropoda; Insecta; Coleoptera; Scarabaeidae.
GGACCAAGGAGUCUAGCAUGUGCGCGAGUCAUUGGGACUCUAACGAAACCUAAAGGCGUAAUGAAAGUGAAGGUCCGCCUAGCGCGGGCCGAGGGAGGAUGGGUGACCCCGAGGGGACGCCUCGCACUCCCAGGGCGUCUCGUUCUCAUUGCGAGAAGAGGCGCACCAAGAGCGUACACGCUGGGACCCGAAAGAUGGUGAACUAUGCCUGGUCAGGACGAAGUCAGGGGAAACCCUGAUGGAGGUCCGUAGCGAUUCUGACGUGCAAAUCGAUCGUCGGAACUGGGUAUAGGGGCGAAAGACUAAUCGAACCAUCUAGUAGCUGGUUCCCUCCGAAGUUUCCCUCAGGAUAGCUGGCGCUCGCUUCUCGCGAGUCUCAUUCGGUAAAGCGAAUGAUUAGAGGCAUUGGGGUCGAAACGGCCUCAACCUAUUCUCAAACUUUAAAUGGGUGAGAUCUCCGGCUUGCUUGAACUGUGAAGCCGCGAGAUAUCGGAUCAGAGUGCCAAGUGGGCCACUUUUGGUAAGCAGAACUGGCGCUGUGGGAUGAACCAAACGCUGAGUUAAAGCGCCUAAAUCGACGCUUAUGGGAUACCAUGAAAGGCGUUGGUAACUUAAGACAGCAGGACGGUGGCCAUGGAAGUCGGA